RNAcentral lists this ribosomal RNA (467 nucleotides) under uncultured bacterium. RNAcentral describes it as "partial 16S ribosomal RNA". It matches the Rfam family "Bacterial small subunit ribosomal RNA", at positions 28 to 506 of the family's 1533-position model. The record is from RNAcentral.
GACGAACGCUGGCGGCGUGCUUAACACAUGCAAGUCGAACGGAAAGGCCCUGCCUUUGUGGGGUGCUCGAGUGGCGAACGGGUGAGUAACACGUGAGUAACCUGCCCUUGACUUUGGGAUAACUUCAGGAAACUGGGGCUAAUACCGGAUAGGAGCUCCUGCUGCAUGGUGGGGGUUGGAAAGUUUCGGCGGUUGGGGAUGGACUCGCGGCUUAUCAGCUUGUUGGUGGGGUAGUGGCUUACCAAGGCUUUGACGGGUAGCCGGCCUGAGAGGGUGACCGGCCACAUUGGGACUGAGAUACGGCCCAGACUCCUACGGGAGGCAGCAGUGGGGAAUAUUGCACAAUGGGCGGAAGCCUGAUGCAGCAACGCCGCGUGCGGGAUGACGGCCUUCGGGUUGUAAACCGCUUUCGCCUGUGACGAAGCGUGAGUGACGGUAAUGGGUAAAGAAGCACCGGCUAACUACGU